UACGGGGGGGGCUAGCGUUGUCCGGAAUCAUUGGGCGUAAAGCGCGUGUAGGCGGUCCGGUAAGUCCGCUGUGAAAGUCGGGGGCUCAACCCUCGGAUGCCGGUGGAUACUGUCGGGCUUGAGUACGGAAGAGGCGAGUGGAAUUCCUGGUGUAGCGGUGAAAUGCGCAGAUAUCAGGAGGAACACCAAUUGCGAAGGCAGCUCGCUGGGACGUUACUGACGCUGAGACGCGAAAGCGUGGGGAGCAAACAGG
RNAcentral lists this ribosomal RNA (253 nucleotides) under uncultured bacterium. RNAcentral's name for it is "partial 16S ribosomal RNA". It matches the Rfam family "Bacterial small subunit ribosomal RNA", at positions 524 to 776 of the family's 1533-position model. The record is from RNAcentral.